Molecule: ribosomal RNA, 429 nt
Filed under: Gemmatimonadota bacterium
Lineage: Bacteria; Pseudomonadati; Gemmatimonadota
Description: Gemmatimonadetes bacterium partial 16S ribosomal RNA
Rfam family: Bacterial small subunit ribosomal RNA
Source: RNAcentral
UAGGGAAUCUUCGGCAAUGGACGAAAGUCUGACCGAGCAACGCCGCGUGAGUGAAGAAGGUUUUCGGAUCGUAAAACUCUGUUGUUAGAGAAGAACAAGGACGUUAGUAACUGAACGUCCCCUGACGGUAUCUAACCAGAAAGCCACGGCUAACUACGUGCCAGCAGCCGCGGUAAUACGUAGGUGGCAAGCGUUGUCCGGAUUUAUUGGGCGUAAAGCGAGCGCAGGCGGUUUCUUAAGUCUGAUGUGAAAGCCCCCGGCUCAACCGGGGAGGGUCAUUGGAAACUGGGAGACUAUAGUGCAGAAGAGGAGAGUGGAAUUCCAUGUGUAGCGGUGAAAUGCGUAGAUAUAUGGAGGAACACCAGUGGCGAAGGCGGCUCUCUGGUCUGUAACUGACGCUGAGGCUCGAAAGCGUGGGGAGCAAACAGG